This 480-nucleotide ribosomal RNA is filed under the name Camaenidae sp. CC1. RNAcentral describes it as "partial 12S ribosomal RNA". The record is from RNAcentral. Lineage: Eukaryota; Metazoa; Mollusca; Gastropoda; Stylommatophora; Camaenidae.
GUCAAACUUUUACAGGAAGGAAUAUAAUUACAGUAAAUUAAAUAACUUUAAAACGUAUGUGGUGAAAUAUAAUCGUUAUAUGUUGACCUUUAUUAUAAAACAAAAUAACAUUGAUUUUAAACAAGGAUUAGAUACCCUUUUAUACAAUGCUGAAAAUAUUUACUGGGUACUAAAACUUUAUAAGUUAAAACUCAAAUUAUAUGGCGGUAACUUUAUUUUUAGGGGAACUUAUCUAUUAAAUGAUAACCACCAAGGUUAAUAACUAUAAGAAAUUCUUGUAUGCCGCCGUCGUCAGGAAAAACAUGAUGUUUUUCCGGAAGCCUUAAGGAAAAAGACAGGUCAAGGUGCAGACAAACUUAUAGAUAAGACGAGUUACAAUUUAUUAUUUUAACGACGAUAUGAUUAUAAAUACAUAUCAAAGUAGGACUUAAUAGUAAAAAUUAAUCAAGAUAAUUUUUGAAUAAGUUAAGGUGUGUACAA